GCAAGGUCGGUAUACAGGUGGUGCAUGGUUGUCGUCAGCUCGUGUCGUGAGAUGUUGGGUUAAGUCCCGCAACGAGCGCAACCCUCGUUCUAUGUUGCCAGCACGUGAUGGUGGGGACUCAUAGGAGACUGCCGGGGUCAACUCGGAGGAAGGUGGGGAUGACGUCAAAUCAUCAUGCCCCUUACGUCUUGGGCUUCACGCAUGCUACAAUGGCCGGUACAGAGGGCUGCGAAACCGUGAGGUGGAGCGAAUCCCUUAAAGCUGGUCUCAGUUCGGAUUGGGGUCUGCAACUCGACCCCAUGAAGUCGGAGUCGCUAGUAAUCGCAGAUCAGCAACGCUGCGGUGAAUACGUUCCCGGGCCUU
Molecule: ribosomal RNA, 363 nt
Filed under: uncultured Ornithinimicrobium sp.
Lineage: Bacteria; Bacillati; Actinomycetota; Actinomycetes; Micrococcales; Ornithinimicrobiaceae
Description: bacterial SSU rRNA
Rfam family: Bacterial small subunit ribosomal RNA
Source: RNAcentral